This is a long non-coding RNA of Capsicum annuum, 546 nucleotides long. RefSeq lists it as uncharacterized. The transcript is spliced from 4 exons. Lineage: Eukaryota; Viridiplantae; Streptophyta; Magnoliopsida; Solanales; Solanaceae. The record is from RefSeq and is a predicted model, not a curated record.
CCAUUGGUCUUCCUCCUUUUUUUCUCCUCUCUUUUUUUCUUGAUUACACCAUUUUGACGUUGACAUUUUGUUAAAUUAAUCUCUGUUCUGCUAUGUACAUUAUUUCUUUAUCCAUUCAUUAAAAACAACUAUCCUGGGGUUUCUGGUCGUCCUUCUGCAAGGUACAAAUGCCACAAUCAGGACCUAAAGAUCUGCCAAUCAUAUCAAGCACAACAGGAAGAUUUGUUGAGAGUGCAAUUGGUUAUGUUCAAUUAACCCGUGGUCAGUUUGAAAGUGUCAUGCAGCAGUCUCAAGAUCGCCAGGUUUCUUUUCAUUUCUAGUUGUUUAAUAGGUUCAUAAGGAACUGCAAGAUACCAUGGCUCAAUUAGAAGCCAUACGACAUGAAAUUCAGACAACCUCUUUUAUGAAUCCUGGUCCAUUGACAAUAAGGCUUGUAGACAGCAUCAACCAACAAUGAUAAAUAAUGCUGAAAAUAGACCUCAAAAAUCUUAUAAAGAGAGCAUCAUUGCUGAAAAAGGACCUAAGAUAUCCAAGAAGGAGAGUACA